AGGGAGAGGGGCUGGCGGCUGAUGGCUUGCUGUUGUCCGUCUCGCCUGCUGGCUGUUACUCGCCGGAGAAAGAGGGGGAAGGGAACAAAGGAGAAGAAGGGAGAUGGCUUGAGCUACUGUCCGUUUGGAGUUGUUGUUGUUUAUUGUUUUCACUGGAGAAGUUGGCGACUGAUGGCACUGCUGCUUCAUCCUCGUCAGUGGUGGCGUGAGCUCGGAGGUGAGCUGAUUCCAUGGCUAUUCGCCGGAGGAGAAGAGAGACGAGAGGAUGAGGGGAGAA
Molecule: unclassified non-coding RNA, 277 nt
Filed under: Hevea brasiliensis (rubber tree)
Lineage: Eukaryota; Viridiplantae; Streptophyta; Magnoliopsida; Malpighiales; Euphorbiaceae
Source: RNAcentral